Molecule: long non-coding RNA, 915 nt
Filed under: Homo sapiens (human)
Lineage: Eukaryota; Metazoa; Chordata; Mammalia; Primates; Hominidae
Description: long intergenic non-protein coding RNA 1551
Source: RNAcentral
CCCUCCAAUGUCAACAAGCAAAACGAAAAUAUUUCCAGGGUGAUCGCUCGCAGCUACCCGCUUCCAAUUCGGAUUAGAAGCUGAGGCUGGAGCGGCGAGGAGAAAACGACAUCGAGUCACCCCGCGCGUGAGCGACGCUCUGGAGCAGGAGAGAAGGAAAAGGAAGAGACACACGUAUAUAGCAUGUGUUACCUGAUUUAUUUCGAGAUUGUUUGGUACUGUUUUCUCUCUGGGCACCUCUCAUUUCGGAAGGCCAUCAGAGGCGCCCACUACUGAGCGGCCCCGGCCGCCGCAGCAGCACCCGGAGCCCCAGUCCCGGUUUCCCCGCGGUGCCGGAGCCCGGAGCUCGCCGCCGCCCAGGCCUCAGGAAUCGACUUCUGCCAGACAGAUGGAACUCUCCAGCAUGAAAAUCUGCGCAGCCAUUCCAACAAGCAGGGCUCUGCCUGAGGUUGUCCGAAGGAUGCCGAGGAAAAGGAUAUCAGGACUGGAAUGGCUCUUACAGCAAGAUCCAGGUUUUUCAUUAGUCAAUACAGUGAAGGCUGGCAUGAUCAUCAGCUUCCCAUCCAAUAAUAUCUACUCAUCAGUGUGCUGUUGUCAAUCAGAGAUUUUCAAGUAUGAGUUCUCCAACUCAAAGAAAAGUAGCUGGAUCCAGGAAGAAAGGCAUUUGGGGAAGAACAACGUUCUUUACAGUGCUCAUGAUGUGUCUCCAGAGAAAGUUACUUCAGCACUAAAAAAAACAAACAAACAAACAACAACAAUAAACAACUUUCCUCUACAGUAUCUUCCAGGGUCUAAACUAUUAGACAGGUUCCUAAGUUUAUCCAGAUCUCUCCUAUGUCUGAAUUCUUGGUCAUCUUCCUUGCCUCUGGCUCCACAGGUAAAGAAGAAAUAAUAAUAAAGGAACAAAAAUUAUAU